This is a long non-coding RNA of Coregonus clupeaformis (lake whitefish), 1680 nucleotides long. RefSeq lists it as uncharacterized. The transcript is spliced from 3 exons. The record is from RefSeq and is a predicted model, not a curated record. NCBI's taxonomy places the organism in Eukaryota, Metazoa, Chordata, Actinopteri, Salmoniformes, Salmonidae.
ACUACUUCAAAAUGGAGAUCGCUUCACUGGAGCUGCCCAUGCUGUCAGACGCUACAAUGGCACAGAUACAAAGACGAGUCCUCUAUCCAUCUUUAUGGUCCCUACAGAACCGUGAGAGGCACUGUAAAGGAGAGCCCAGAAGAGCUAGUCUGAUAGGUCAGUCCCACCAGCUCACUGUUUCACAGCUGCAACAACCUGGUCUCUCUUUGAGGAGGGUGUGUAGGGCUCAGCUGAUGAUUCAUAUUCCAGGUGUCGUUGGUCUCUCCUCUAGUCUAGGAGGUAAUGAUUCUAGGAGACCACAGAAGAAGAGAAGGUACCAUCAAGUGUAGCUGGUCUAUCUGACCCUUUGAGGGAGGUGCAAUUGGUUGCUCUCAUCUCUGGGGGAGGUGCUAUAGGGAGUGGCUGGUCUCUGUCGGUUAGGGAGGUGCUAUAGAGAGUGGCUUGUCUCUGUUAGGGAGGUGCUAUAGAGAGUGGCUUGUCUCUGUUAGGGAGGUGCUAUAGGGAGUGGCUGGUCUCUGUCGGUUAGGGAGGUGCUAUAGAGAGUGGCUUGUCUCUGUUAGGGAGGUGCUAUAGAGAGUGGCUUGUCUCUGUUAGGGAGGAGCUAUAGAGAGUGGCUUGUCUCUGUCUGUUAGGGAGGAGCUAUAGAGAGUGGCUUGUCUCUGUUAGGGAGGUGGUAUAGAGAGUGGCUGGUCUCUGUUAGGGAGGUGCUAUAGAGAGUGGCUUGUCUCUGUCUGUUAGGGAGGUGCUAUAGAGAGUGGCUUGUCUCUGUCUGUUAGGGAGGUGCUAUAGAGAGUGGCUGGUCUCUGUCUGUUAGGGAGGUGCUAUAGAGAGUGGCUUUUCUCUGUCUGUUAGGGAGGUGCUAUAGAGAGUGGCUGGUCUCUGUCUGUUAGGGAGGAGCUAUAGAGAGUGGCUGGUCUCUGUCUGUUAGGGAGGUGCUAUAGAGAGUGGCUGGUCUCUGUUAGGGUGGUGGUAUAGAGAGUGGCUUGUCUCUGUUAGGGAGGAGCUAUAGAGAGUGGCUUGUCUCUGUUAGGGAGGUGCUAUAGAGAGUGGCUGGUCUCUUUCUGUUAGGGAGGUGCUAUAGAGAGUGGCUGGUCUCUGUCUGUUAGGGAGGAGCUAUAGAGAGUGGCUUGUCUCUGUCUGUUAGGGAGGUGCUAUAGAGAGUGGCUGGUCUCUGUAUGUUAGGGAGGUGCUAUAGAGAGUGGCUUGUCUCUGUUAGGGAGGAGCUAUAGAGAGUGGCUGGUCUCUGUCUGUUAGGGAGGUGCUAUAGAGAGUGGCUGAUCUCUGUCUGUUAGGGAGGUGCUAUAGAGAGUGGCUUGUCUCUGUUAGGGAGGUGCUAUAGAGAGUGGCUGGUCUCUGUUAGGGAGGUGCUAUAGAGAGUGGCUGGUCUCUGUCUGUUAGGGAGGUGCUAUAGAGAGUGGCUGAUCUCUGUCUGUUAGGGAGGUGCUAUAGAGAGUGGCUGGUCUCUGUCUGUUAGGGAGGUGCUAUAGAGAGUGGCUGAUCUCUGUCUGUUAGGGAGGUGCUAUAGAGUGUGGCUUGUCUCUGUUAGGGAGGUGCUAUAGAGAGUGGCUUGUCUCUAUCUGUUAGGGAGGUGCUAUAGGAGGAAGCAUCAGGUGCAUCAGAGUGAAUGGUUUCUCUCAUUCAUUUCUUGUCCUUUAGGAAAGUGUUAUUGGGCAUGUCUGG